Molecule: long non-coding RNA, 3418 nt
Organism: Brassica napus (rape)
Lineage: Eukaryota; Viridiplantae; Streptophyta; Magnoliopsida; Brassicales; Brassicaceae
Exons: 2
Source: RefSeq, a predicted model, not a curated record
CAACCAUAUCUGAGAAAGACGCCAAGAGGACGCAAGAGGAUAGCAAGAAGAAUCUUUUUCUUUCUAUCAUUUUCUCGGAACAAUGGCUUGCCUGCCGCUUGAUCUCAUGGAGCAAUCGCCUAUGCCCUCCUGAAAUCUCCUAUACCCCCAAUUAUUUAAUGAAGUGGUGAUUGAAGAAAUUACCCUCUUAUUUAAUAAAUAAAAGUUAGAUAAAACAUAAAUUGAAUUUUCGGUUUGGUUGGAUUGGUUUAAGGUUUGAUUAAAAAUCGGUUUUGACUUUAUCCAUAAAAAAAAAACCUGGCAAAAAAAAAGGAGCGUAACCGCAGUUCUUCGUUCCCAGCUCCACUUUCCCUGCUCACCUCCACUUUCCCUGCUCACCUCCACUCCCUCGGCUCUGGAAGCUCUCCCGCAGCCCAGCUUCUCCUCCUGAACCUCCACUCCUUUCUCCCGCAGCUUCUCCAUCACCACCGUCUGUCAGCGUACACCAAUCAGAAGUAGCUUGUGGUCUCCGUUUUGAGGUUUCUUUGGGAAGUAGGUUGUAAUGGAUUUGCAAUUGAAAUGCACAACGGCCUUGUUUUGUUUAGGGGUUGAUUUGUAAAGAAAACUGGUAUAUAAUGCAUUUCAGUGGUGGAAUGAGAGUGUAUAGGCAGUAGAAUUAGACCUAGAUCAAUCUUGCGCACCUUAAACCUAAUUCAAUUUGUUCUUGAUAAUUGUAGUAUAACUGUCUAACUCGGAACAACAACGAGAUCGCAGUUAUGUGGAAAGUGAUAGCUGUGGAUGCGACAUGGCUGAAGAACAUAUAUGGUGGUGUUCUAGUCUUCGCGAAAGCUCAAGAUCCUAAUGGUCACAGUUAUCCACUUGCAUUUGCAGUACUAGAUGGUGAGAAUCUUGUUAGUUCGACUUGGUUUUUCGAGAUGCUUAAAAGUGUUAUACCAGACUUUUCUGAACUGGUUAUCAUGAGUGAAAGAAAUCAGAGCCUGAUCCUCGUUAUAGGAAAUGUGUUUCCACAUGAUCACCGUGGCAUUGUUUAUGGCAUUUGAUGGAAAAUGUGAAAUGGCAUGCUUGUAACGUCAACAAGAAUAUAGUCGGGCAUAGAUUUAUGGAGUUUGGCAGAUAUUACAUGGUGGGUGACUAGUUCAACUCUGCUUAUGACUCAUUUAAGAUAAGAUAUCCUGCUGCGUACAAGUAUGGGGAGAAACAUACUGAAAAGGACAAAUGGGCAAGGGUGCACGUGAGAGGUAAAACUUGGAUACAUGCAACAAUGUGGAAUAAAUGAAGAACGUUUUUAAAGAGGCAACGAGGUGGGCCUUAAUACCAAUGUUUGAUUGUAUCAUUAGGAAAUUCUCUGAUUGGUUCAAUCAACGGAAGGAUGAUGUUUCUAGAUCAAUCGAUACAAGACUGGUGCCUCUGGUUGAGAACUACUUGCACGAUGUAUGGUUGUUGCACAACAGCUAUCUGUGUGGGAGUUUGAUAGUUAUGAGCUUAAGUACGAGAUCACUGACACUGCAGAAAAGAUGUUUUGGGCAACCUUGGUUGGAAAAUCUUGUACUUGCAUGGUGUGGGAUUAUGAAAAGUUUUCUUGUCUGCACGGACUGGCAGCUUACAUAUAUUUCACUAAGAAUGUUGAUGGAAGCCGCCUUAAUAUCUGUGAGCUGUGUUCAAAAUACUACUGAACGGAACUGUAGGCUUUGGCGUAUUCCAGGAAACUUUAUGUUGUGUCCGACAUGUCUUCUUUUAAUGUACCGGAUCAGAUCAAGGAGGUGAAGAUCAUGCCUCCAGAUCGCAUCACACAGAAGGGAAGGAAAAGAAUGAAAAGUUAGUUAUUUGGAUGAAUUAGGAGUAAUGCAUUUUAGCUCUAUUGUCUGUUUAUUUUGUGUUGUAUGCUUUGGAAAAAACUGAGUAAAACUUGGUUAUCUACUUUGUUUUGUUCCUUUGUUUUGUAAUGACAUUAGUAUUAUCUAUAUCAAAACUCGGUUAUCAUAGUUUUCCAUUUAAUUUCUAUACUCUAACUUAUAAUUCUUACAAACAUGACAAAUGUUGCAAAAUUUUGGAAACUCGUAAUAUAUGCAUUAUAAAACCUUGUAAUAUCAAUCACACUUUCUCAAUGAAGAACUUCUUACAAAGGAAAUUUUAGAGUUAUAUGUAUUAAACCUACAUUAUUGUACAAAACAAUAUAAAUUACAUUUUGAAGUACUAAACUCAAAAGUAAAACUAAAAAAAUAAGUUAAAAAUUUAAUAACACUAAAUAAAUUAGAAACCACCAAAAGUAAAACUAUGACCAAAUUUCGUAACACUACUAUCUUCUGUAUAACUAAGAACAAAUCUUAGGAGGGAAAUGAAAAACAAUUUUGGCCCCUAAACAAUAAAAAAAGAACGAAAGAAAUUUCUCAUCUCAGUUGGAACCUUCACUUUUUCUUAUCCAUCUCCCUCUCCUCAUAAACUCUCUCUCUCUCUCUCUCUCUCUCUCUCUCUCUCUCUCUCUCUCUCUCUCUCUCUCUCUCUCUCUCUCUCUCUCUCUCUCUCUCUCUCUCUCUCUCUCUCUCUCUCUCUCUCUCUCAUCUCAACCACACAACAUCCUCUAACUUUUUCUUAUCCAUUUUCUCUUCCUUCAUUUCAAGAGUCAAACCGGUAUAUUUCCUGAAUCUUCCAUUUACCAACACCAAUUAUCUCUCUCUUCUAUUACAUCUGAAACAACACCUUCCCUCUUCCUCUUCCAAUUAUCUAUUUCAAUUCUCUCUAUUCCUUUCUCUCUCUCUCUCUCUCUCUCUCUCUCUCUCUCUCUCUCUCUCUCUCUCUCUCUCUCUCUCUCUCUCUCUCUCUCUCUCAGAAUAGUUUGAUCUCUCUAUAUCUUUUCUUCUCUUCUCAGAUUGAAAAAGUGAAGAUGGAAAAUGUGAAGGUGGAAAAAUCGAAGAUGGACGUGGGUUCGGGAUCGUCAACGAGGAGACGGAAUUAUGGUUGGAGAUUGUGUUUUUGUGGCUUACCGGCGAAUAUAAUGCAAGCUUGGACUGACAAAAACUAAGCUUGGAGAUGAAUGCAAUUACUUCUCUUUGCUUGAUGAAGAGGAAGGUACGAAAUGGCAAAGAAGAGCUUUGAUUGAAGCUCGGGAUGAGAUCAGGCAGAAGACCAGAGUGAUUGAGCAAUUAAUUAAAACCAUCUCAGAAAUGAAAAGCAAUUUGGAGAACAAAGAGACAGUGGAUGACGAUAAUGACGAUGAGAUUGUUAGAAAGUUUGAAGAAUUCUAUGUUUAAGUGUUUUGGAUUGUUGGUCUUUUCCUCAUUUCUGGUUGGUCUUUUACUGUCUGUUUUCCGUUUCUUUGUUUCGGCGGAUCGGCUUACAAGUCUUUAUUUUGUGGUUUGUCUAAGACUUGUAAAACUCCAAACUUUCAUUUAUUUAUUUUAUGGUUGACGAUAACAUGAAA